Cornus florida is the source of this 2326-nucleotide long non-coding RNA. RefSeq lists it as uncharacterized. The transcript is spliced from 4 exons. Lineage: Eukaryota; Viridiplantae; Streptophyta; Magnoliopsida; Cornales; Cornaceae. The record is from RefSeq and is a predicted model, not a curated record.
UUAUUUUUUUCCCCCCAAAAUAUUCCUUCAGGCGGUCUAAUUAUUUUAUAUUCCCGCCCAAAUAUAUUUUCCCCUUUCUAUCACGGUACCCAAACGUGUUGGUGCUGUAUCACUUUUUCCAACUCAAGCCCUAAACCCUACCCAAACACUUCCUGUGACAUCCUUAAACUGCACACAUUCAAAUAGUCGUGAUUCAGGCUUCGGCGUCGAAGCUUUUGAACAAUCAAGAGAGGGAACGCGAGAUGUGUACUCUAGCUAAUUGCUUGUGUAUUGGGGAUGGUAAUGGUGUUGGAUCCGUAGAAAUGAAUCACAGUUUGAAGGAAUCUCUGAUCGGAGGGAGGUCGCAGCACCGGCAAGGUCUCAGUCUCAACGGAAUCUCCAAGGAUACGGAUGAGAACUUGGAUCUCUUCUCUAGAAAUCGCUGGAGUCUCUCCGUUGCUUCGUCCGACGAAUCGGACGUUUCAGUGAAAUUGGGGAGACUUUCAGUUGGAUCAGCGAAACCCAACAAAAUAUAUGACUACCAGACCGACUUCUUCUUCUACUUCUUCCUCCGAGGACACCAAUUCAUGGGCCGUUCAUGCCUAGUUGCCGCCGGACCUCACUAGUGGCGGUGGCUGGGGCACACGCUUGAUUCUCUCUCCAAGGAUUCGCCAGAUUUCGAAGGCAGGUGAUCGGGAUUAUACCAGCACGGUACGUCCUCUUGAUUCCAAGGCAAACCCCUCGUUUCCAUCCCCAGCAAAGCCCAUGAUUCAGGAACUUAAGCAGGAAUAAUUUGGCUGGCUAUAUACCAGCUGAGUUUGGUAAUCUAAGAAGCAUUAUGGAGAUAGACAUUUCAAAUAAUCACCUUUACGGUCCUAUUCCUCAAGAACUCGGUCAGCUUCAAAAUGUCCUCUUACUGUAAGUUCUAUUUCCCUGUUUGAUAUUUGUGCUUCAAGUUUCUAUUUGUGGUCUUCAUUGGUUGUCAAAGUAACUGUUAUUCUGUGGGAGGAUAAAACCAACAGGUUUGGUUAUGUACUGUUGCAUCUUAUGAAACAUAGCAUUUAUAUACUCUCUCUCUCUAUAUAUAUAUAUUUAUGUAUAUAUGGGUUUAGAAGGUUUUCGGUUCCCGUUUUUGGGGUUUUUGCUUUAAAAUCAAAUUAUUAGUUGAUUUUGUUUGCAUUAAAUAUUGUUUUUGAAGCCAAACGUGGGUUUAAUUGAUUAAAGAACAAGUUGAGUUAGAUUGAUCAUGUAUGUCCCUGUUGUGUUUUUUCUUUUAGUUUUAUUCGGAUCGAUCAUAUUUGUGUGUAUAUUAUGGUCUUUGAUUUUUUUUUUUUUAUUCAUUUUUUUGUGAAUUUUGAUUCAAACAUGCAUUAUUUGAUCCCUUAACGUGAUUUUAUUGGAUUUGAAUAGGGAUUGGGGUGAAUUUCUCAUGCUUUGUGUUCCGUAUGUGCGUGUGUAUGUGUAUACAUGGGUGUGGACUAAAUAUGCAUUGAUACAACAAUCCUGCACUGCUUUCCAAGGCAAACCAAUGAUAAAUUGAGUGCUUGAACAGUAGUAAUUAUAAGAGGAUGGAACAAAUACAUCAACAUAGUUUAUUUUCUUCUGAGGAUUUUAUUGGUAAUUUGUAAAACUAGUUCUACUCACUAUAAUAAACAUCUUCUAUUUGUGUAUGGUAGUAAGUUUUCAAUUUUACUUUGUGCCAUGGCCAUAUUAGAUAUAAAUCUUCUCACAGUGAUGUGCUUGUUUAUUGUUUUCUUCUGUUAAUUGUUCUUUUUUUCAUUUUAUUCUAUUAUAUAAUACUGAGUUUUUAUAUGUUUCUCACAAGAUUCUACUGUCUAAAAAACAGUUGAAUGCUUACUUGAAGAGAGAAGAUUCUCAUUACAAUGCUUUUUCUUAAAUUGUUAGAAUGUAUUUUUUAGUUAUGAUUCGUUUGUCAAUUAUAGUGACCCCAUAACAAAGAGGAAAGAAAAAUACAGAUGAGAUGGAAGGCAAGGCAUGGGAAGUCUUGUCCACUUGUACUUAUAUCUUGAAUCCUUGAAUUCUUUGACGUGUCCAAAUUACAUUAGAGAUGUUGUCCCUCUAACUUUCUUGUCAAUUUUUAUUUUUAUUUUUUUAUUUUUUAUUUUUUUUGAGUCAUUGGUUAAAUAUUUUUUACUGAAUGGGUUAUUGGUUAAUUUGGAUUGUUCAAAAAAUUAAUUAUUUAGCCAAAGUAGAUUCAAAAUGGUUAACAUUAAAAAAUCUGUAGAACUAACUAAUCAAUUAAAAAUAAAGUUGGUAACUUCUUACUUGUGUAAUGUAUUGCCCAAUAGUCUAUAGUAAAAGUAAAAGUCUAGUUAUGUGGAUUUUG